AUCAAUUUUAUUGAAUCAUGAAUAAUUUAAGACUGGUACAAUCAUCAGCUUUAUUCUCUAUGACGUGGGGCAUGAUCUCCAGUAGAUCGAUGGCAGAUCCAAAAACCUCAUGACAAAUGAAAAUUAAAUAGGGAGGACGGGAGGGAAGGAGGAAGGAAACAUACCGUACACAAAAUACUCAAUUCCUAGUUUUCUCUUUAAAAAUGGCUAGAAAAAAUUCAUCAAAAUGCAGCACUUUAAUCGAUUAUUUACAAUUUCUAUGUUACAGUGAAAAAAUGUACAUCUUAUAGGACAUAUUUCAUAAACUGCUCCACUGGAAACAACUAGAUUAAAACAGCAAACCUUCCAUUUAAUAUCCACAAAGUUGGAUUGUUUUUUUUUUUUCCUUUUGAAGUAGAUUUACCACCAUCAGAUCUGAGUACACGGAAUUCCGAAGUUGAAGCAUCAACAGUAAAAUAAAAAAUGUCCCCAAGACACAACAAAGGUCUAGGCAAGUCUCGUUCCUUGUCCCACCCCUACCCCACCCCCAAACUUAAAUUAAAAGAUAUUCCCAUCUCAUUUAUGGCCUGUAUAAUUCUUGGCAGUUUGGGAAGAAGACUUUUGGCUUCCACUGGUAACUCAACGUAAGUGUUGCAUAGAAUUUCAUAUAUUUUCAGAAAGUAGCCUAACUGUAGAAAAAGGCAAAAUGGAAGCAUUUCGGAACAGAGCCCUAAAUGAGCACAAAGUCACUUUGUCAAAGGUGAGCGACACUAACGUAAAAUAUGACCGAAAGAAGAAAUGUGCGUAUCAGACAACCCUGCUUCCCGAAACUUGAGGAAGGACACGGAGUUGUGAAUCACACGAGGGCUACGCGACUUCAAAUCAACUGGUCACUAGUCAGGCAGCAGCAGAGACAAGAGGUCUCGGUUCUGAGCCUGGACCUGGUGGGAGGGAAGUCUGUAGGAUAGGAGAGGGGAGGAGACAGAGAAGGUGUCCUAAAAACAAAAACAACAAAACAAAACAAAAAAAGGGUUUCAAAUGAUAUUGGCAGGUGUCUACUCACAAGGUGACUGGGAAAACUGCCCCCAAGGAGAGGUCUAUUUUACCUCCUCCCAAAUUCACAGUAUGAGCGUGUAAGGUCAUCGCUGGGAAACAGAUUGAGAAGGACCACUCUGUAGGUUUACCAGAAGGCUCAGGCUGUGGCCCGUGGUCACAGGCUAAAUCCAUGGUUGAAAAUUU
This 1218-nucleotide long non-coding RNA is filed under the name Canis lupus familiaris (dog). RNAcentral's name for it is "lncRNA (ENSCAFG00805030757.1, ENSCAFG00845021202.1)". Lineage: Eukaryota; Metazoa; Chordata; Mammalia; Carnivora; Canidae. The record is from RNAcentral.